AUUGAACGCUGGCGGCAGGCCUAACACAUGCAAGUCGAACGGUAACAGGAAGAAGCUUGCUUCUUUGCUGACGAGUGGCGGACGGGUGAGUAAUGUCUGGGAAGCUGCCUGAUGGAGGGGGAUAACUACUGGAAACGGUAGCUAAUACCGCAUAAUGUCGCAAGACCAAAGAGGGGGACCUUCGGGCCUCUUGCCAUCGGAUGUGCCCAGAUGGGAUUAGCUAGUAGGUGGGGUAACGGCUCACCUAGGCGACGAUCCCUAGCUGGUCUGAGAGGAUGACCAGCCACACUGGAACUGAGACACGGUCCAGACUCCUACGGGAGGCAGCAGUGGGGAAUAUUGCACAAUGGGCGCAAGCCUGAUGCAGCUAUGCCGCGUGUAUGAAGAAGGCCUUCGGGUUGUAAAGUACUUUCAGCGGGGAGGAAGGGAGUAAAGUUAAUACCUUUGCUCAUUGACGUUACCCGCAGAAGAAGCACCGGCUAACUCCGUG
RNAcentral lists this ribosomal RNA (490 nucleotides) under uncultured bacterium. RNAcentral's name for it is "partial 16S ribosomal RNA". It matches the Rfam family "Bacterial small subunit ribosomal RNA", at positions 30 to 507 of the family's 1533-position model. The record is from RNAcentral.